This 98-nucleotide small nuclear RNA is filed under the name Aotus nancymaae (Ma's night monkey). Lineage: Eukaryota; Metazoa; Chordata; Mammalia; Primates; Aotidae. The record is from RNAcentral.
UGCUGCUCUGGCAGCAUUAUACUAAAACUAGAAUGAUACAGAAGAUUAGCACAGUCCCUGCCUCUGACAGGCAUUUAUGAAGCCAAUUCCAAUAAUUU